CUCCAGGAAGAGCCAAAGAGAGUGUUUACAAAGAUUUGGCUGUUGUAUUGACCUAGAUUAGGACAAUUACUGUCUGUCGCUGCUAAUUUGUUGCUGUGCUGCUAAGCAGUAUACAGAACGGAGGGACUACCGGAAGUCUCUAUGCCUUCUUGGUUCUUCUAUCUUAGGUUUUCUGUGCUUGACUUGGCUAACUUUGCAAGUAUAGGGGCAGGUAGUUUAUUGAGGUGAUAGAGGGUUAUCAGAUAAUUUGCUUCUACUUGGGACAAAGUAGAUAAGUUUUGUAAUGGGUGAUCGUGAUGAGAAUAAUGGUUAAAAGUUAGGAAGUAUCAUUAGAUGGUUUUUAAAAUUAAUAUUUGGCAAUGAUUGCCAAAGGCAAUUGGCACUAUUUACAUGAAUCUUGAGAUGUGAGAAUUGGGAUGUAAGUAUCUCUGUCCAUUUGGGGAAAUCACAGAUACCAGCAUUGAACUCUUAAGGGCUUCUGAGGAAUUAAAUCCUAAUGCCUUUAAAUUUACUCAGUACAAGUCAUGUCCUAACCUUAACCAUGGUUGUGUGGGUUCAAAGCUAGGUUUCUGACCUUUGAAACAGUAGUUUUCUCAAACUUAGAACAUUUCUAUAUUUUGCCAAGUUGUUCAUAUAAUUAAUAUUAAUGGAUAACUAAUUGGAGUAAUGAUUAUUAGCUACUAAAUGCUGAUAAUAGAAGUCAUAUUUAAAUGCUUAGUUACUUAAGUUAGUCAAGGACUCUGAAAAAAUAAGGUUUAAGUUAAUAAUUUCAUCAGUCAUUUCCAGUUACCUUAUUUAAGAACAAGAUGGUAAUGCAGUUGCCUUUGUUUAUUUAAAUAGAAAAAAUUAAAUUAGGAGAAAAUGACCCAACUAGAGCGAUGUAUUUGGACACACUACUUCUUAUCUUUCAAUAUAGACUUUUAUUUUCUGGAUUACCAUAGAUGGAAAUAGUAUUACUGGACAUAUGUUGGUAGGUAUUUACUUCUGUUUUUCUUUUUCCUUUAAUUUCAAAUACUUCUAGCUACAAAAAUUGUCAAAAACUUUGCAACACACUAUACCUCCCCCUUUUUUAUUCUGUAACAGAAUUACAGAAUAAAAAUUCAGGCCAGCCGCAAUGGCUCACACCUGUAAUCCCAGCACUUUGGGAGGCUGAGGCAGGCAGAUCACCUGAGGUCGGGAGUUUGAGACCAGCCUGACCAACAUGGAAAAACCUUGCCUCUACUAAAAAUACAAAAUUAGCCAGGCAUGGUGGCACAUGCCUGUAAUCCCAGCUACUUGGGAGGCUGAGGCAGGAGAAUUGCUUGAACCCAGGAGGCAGAGGUUGCAGUGAGCCAAGAUAGCGCCAUUGCACUCCAGCCUGGGCAACAAGAGCGAAAUUCCUACUCAAAAAAAAAAAAAACUAUCCCUCCCUGAACACCGUAUGUUUCUAAUUUUUCAUCUACUUGAUUGAUUCAGUAAUAGCACCAACUAUAACAAGGAAAGUAAGUAUUGCAUAUCAUAUAUCCAGUAUAGAGUCCAUUUUCCGAUGCUAUAUUUAAAACAUGUAGAUACUACAAUUUUCUCUGAGCCAAAUCAUUGACUUAAGAGUAUCUCCUAAAAUCAAACUUCAAUAAAAUCUCAGUACAACUACAAAAAAUAUGUAUACCAAAGUAUUUUACAGACAGUAAUUGGUCAUAAAAAACCAAAAGACAUAGCUGCUCUGUACUAGUAAUUUCAUAAAAGGGGCCAAGGCACAGUGGCUCACACCUGUAAUCCCAGCACUUUGGGAGGCCGAGGCAGGCAGAUCAUGAGAUCAAGAGAUCAAGACCACCCUGGCCAAAAUGGUGAAACCCCAUCUCUACUAAAUACAAAAAUUAGCUGGCCAUGGUGGCACGCACCUGUAGUCCCAGCUACUUGAGAGGCUGAGGCUUGAAUCGCUUGAACCCAAGAGGUAGAGGUUGCAUUGAGCUGAGAUCACACCACUGCACUCCAGCCUAGCGACGGGGCGAGACUCUGUCUCAAAAAAAAAAAAAA
This 2013-nucleotide long non-coding RNA is filed under the name Macaca fascicularis (crab-eating macaque). Its description in RNAcentral is "lncRNA (ENSMFAG00000061775.1)". The record is from RNAcentral. Lineage: Eukaryota; Metazoa; Chordata; Mammalia; Primates; Cercopithecidae.